GAUGAAGAACGUAGCGAAAUGCGAUACGUAAUGUGAAUUGCAGAAUUCAGUGAAUCAUCGAGUCUUUGAACGCACAUUGCGCCCCCUGGUAUUCCGGGGGGCAUGCCUGUCCGAGCGUCAUUGCUGCCCUCAAGCACGGCUUGUGUGUUGGGCCUCCGUCCUCCUCCCGGGGGACGGGCCCGAAAGGCAGCGGCGGCACCGCGUCCGGUCCUCGAGCGUAUGGGGCUUCGUCACCCGCUCUUGUAGGCCCGGCCGGCGCUUGCCGACACAUCAAUCUUUUUUCCAGGUUGACCUCGGAUCAGGUAGGGAUACCCGCUGAACUUAAGCAUAUCAAUAACGGAGGA
Molecule: unclassified non-coding RNA, 344 nt
Filed under: soil metagenome
Description: partial contains 5.8S ribosomal RNA, internal transcribed spacer 2, and large subunit ribosomal RNA
Rfam family: 5.8S ribosomal RNA (bases 1-120)
Source: RNAcentral